AACGUAGGUGGCAAGCGUUAUCCGGAUUUAUUGGGCGUAAAGGGAACGCAGGCGGUCUUUUAAGUCUGAUGUGAAAGCCUUCGGCUUAACCGGAGUAGUGCAUUGGAAACUGGGAGACUUGAGUGCAGAAGAGGAGAGUGGAACUCCAUGUGUAGCGGUGAAAUGCGUAGAUAUAUGGAAGAACACCAGUGGCGAAAGCGGCUCUCUGGUCUGUAACUGACGCUGAGGUUCGAAAGCGUGGGUAGCAAACAGG
This 253-nucleotide ribosomal RNA is filed under the name uncultured bacterium. RNAcentral's name for it is "partial 16S ribosomal RNA". It matches the Rfam family "Bacterial small subunit ribosomal RNA", at positions 524 to 776 of the family's 1533-position model. The record is from RNAcentral.